Molecule: ribosomal RNA, 429 nt
Filed under: Chloroflexota bacterium
Lineage: Bacteria; Bacillati; Chloroflexota
Description: Chloroflexi bacterium partial 16S ribosomal RNA
Rfam family: Bacterial small subunit ribosomal RNA
Source: RNAcentral
UGGGGAAUAUUGCACAAUGGGCGCAAGCCUGAUGCAGCCAUGCCGCGUGUAUGAAGAAGGCCUUCGGGUUGUAAAGUACUUUCAGCGGGGAGGAAGUGAGUAAAGUUAAUACCUUUGCUCAUUGACGUUACCCGCAGAAGAAGCACCGGCUAACUCCGUGCCAGCAGCCGCGGUAAUACGGAGGGUGCAAGCGUUAAUUGGAAUUACUGGGCGUAAAGCGCACGCAGGCGGUUUGUUAAGUCAGAUGUGAAAUCCCCGGGCUCAACCUGGGAACUGCAUCUGAUACUGGCAAGCUUGAGUCUCGUAGAGGGGGGUAGAAUUCCAGGUGUAGCGGUGAAAUGCGUAGAGAUCUGGAGGAAUACCGGUGGCGAAGGCGGCCCCCUGGACGAAGACUGACGCUCAGGUGCGAAAGCGUGGGGAGCAAACAGG